Molecule: ribosomal RNA, 514 nt
Filed under: uncultured bacterium
Lineage: Bacteria
Description: bacterial SSU rRNA
Rfam family: Bacterial small subunit ribosomal RNA
Source: RNAcentral
ACGAACGCUGGCGGCGUGCCUAAUACAUGCAAGUGGAACGCAUGAUUGAUACUGUAGCUUGCUACACCAUUAAUCAUGAGUCGCGAACGGGUGAGUAACGCGUAGGUAACCUGCCUACUAGCGGGGGAUAACUAUUGGAAACGAUAGCUAAUACCGCAUAAGAGUUUUUUAACACAUGUUAGAAUUUAAAAGGAGCAAAUGCUUCACUAGUAGAUGGACCUGCGUUGUAUUAGCUAGUUGGUAAGGUAACGGCCCACCAAGGCAACGAUGGGUAGCCGAUUUGAGAGGAUGAUCGGCCACACUGGAACUGAAACACGGUCCAGACUCCUACGGGAGGCAGCAGUGGGGAAUAUUGCGCAAUGGGCGAAAGCCUGACGCAGCGACGCCGCGUGAGGGAUGAAGGUUUUCGGAUCGUAAACCUCUGUCAGAAGGGAAGAAACUACGUUGUGCUAAUCAGCAGCGUACUGACGGUACCUUCAAAGGAAGCACCGGCUAACUCCGUGCCAGCCGCAGC